GAGUUUGAUCCUGGCUCAGGAUGAACGCUAGCGAUAGGCUUAACACAUGCAAGUCGAGGGGUAACGCUUCGGGCGACGACCGGCGCACGGGUGAGUAACACGUAUGCAACCUGCCCAUAACAUGGGGAUAGCCUUCCGAAAGGGAGAUUAAUACCCGAUGACACAGGGAUACCGCCUGGUAAUAUUUGUUAAAGGUUUACCGGUUAUGGAUGGGCAUGCGCAGGAUUAGAUAGUUGGCAGGGUAACGGCCUACCAAGUCGGCGAUCCUUAGGGGAACUGAGAGGUUUAUCCCCCACACUGGUACUGAGACACGGACCAGACUCCUACGGGAGGCAGCAGUGAGGAAUAUUGGUCAAUGGUCGGGAGACUGAACCAGCCAAAUCGCGUGAAGGAAGAAGGUAUUAUGUAUUGUAAACUUCUUUUGGGAGGGAAUAAAGUGAGGGACGUGUCCCUUUUUGUAAGUACCUUCCGAAUAAGCAUCGGCUAACUCCGUGCCAGCAGCCGCGGUAAUACGGAGGAUGCGAGCGUUAUCCGGAUUUAUUGGGUUUAAAGGGUGCGUAGGUUGGAUUUUAAGUCAGCGGUGAAAUCACGACGCUAAACGUCGUAACUGCCGUUGAAACUGGGAUCCUUGAGUGUAAACGAGGCAGGCGGAAUUCGUAGUGUAGCGGUGAAAUGCAUAGAUAUUACGAAGAACCCCGAUAGCGCAGGCAGCUUGCCAGGCUACAACUGACACUGAAGCACGAAAGUGUGGGUAUCAAACAGGAUUAGAUACCCUGGUAGUCCACACAGUAAACGAUGAUUACUCGCUGUUUGCGAUACACAGUAAGCGGCCAAGCGAAAGCGUUAAGUAAUCCACCUGGGGAGUACGCCGGCAACGGUGAAACUCAAAGGAAUUGACGGGGGCCCGCACAAGCGGAGGAACAUGUGGUUUAAUUCGAUGAUACGCGAGGAACCUUACCCGGGCCCGAACGGCAGUGGAAUAUUUGUGAAAGCAGGUAGCCAGCAAUGGUCGCU
RNAcentral lists this ribosomal RNA (1014 nucleotides) under uncultured Bacteroidota bacterium. RNAcentral describes it as "bacterial SSU rRNA". It matches the Rfam family "Bacterial small subunit ribosomal RNA", at positions 9 to 1030 of the family's 1533-position model. The record is from RNAcentral. Lineage: Bacteria; Pseudomonadati; Bacteroidota.